Molecule: long non-coding RNA, 687 nt
Filed under: Capsella grandiflora
Lineage: Eukaryota; Viridiplantae; Streptophyta; Magnoliopsida; Brassicales; Brassicaceae
Description: long non-coding RNA (CGRA_LNC000411)
Source: RNAcentral
CAAUUUUUACAAAAUUCUCGCACAAGAGAACAACAAAAAUAUAAAUUUAUGUAUAUUAAAAACAACAACAAGUCAACAAUCAUAAAGGAACAAAUAUUCAAAUGGUAAAACAUUUUACAUGUAACCGUAUAGUAAACAAUCAUAUUAUAUAAACUUCUCGUGGUCGUGAAUGCUAUAAAUUGUUGUUGGGUAUUUUUUUCGUUCCUUUGUUUCGUGUAUGUGAAUUUUGUGCACGUGAGUUUCUUAUUUGCGUGAGUUUUUGUUUUCGUGUCAAUUGCUUUGCUCUUGUUUUUGUUUUGGUGGUGUCGUACGUUUUUGUGAAGUUGUUUUUUGUUUUGGUGGUGUCGUACGUUUUCGUGAAGUUUUUUUUUGUUUUGGUGGUGUUGUAUGUUUUCGUGAAGUUUUUUUUUUGUUUUGGUGGUGUUGUAUGUUUUUGUUUUUGUUUUUGUGUGUCGUAUGUUUUUGUUNNNNNNNNNNNNNNNNNNNNNNNNGUUUUUGUUUUUGUGUGUUGUAUGUUUUUGUUUUUGUGUGUUGUAUGUUUUUGUUUUCAAUGUUUUGUUUUUGUGAAUUUUUGACAAGAUACAAGAGACAUAAGGAGAGAGAAACUUUCACCUUACUUAUCACUUACUCUUGGAUCUCCAGAUUAUUUGUGACAUAAGGAUGGAUACAUCUUGUUAGGGAGAAAAU